GGCUGGUUCAAAGGUAGUGUUAUCUCAAUUAAUUGUUCAGUCAGUUGCAGAUCAAACUCUUUGUUCUACUCUUUCCCUACUUCUCAUUACUGCACUUGACUAGUCCAAA
RNAcentral lists this Y RNA (109 nucleotides) under Saimiri boliviensis boliviensis (Bolivian squirrel monkey). RNAcentral's name for it is "Y RNA (ENSSBOG00000005459.1)". It matches the Rfam family "Y RNA". Rfam says of the family: Y RNAs are components of the Ro ribonucleoprotein particle (Ro RNP), in association with Ro60 and La proteins. The Y RNAs and Ro60 and La proteins are well conserved, but the function of the Ro RNP is not known. In humans the RNA component can be one of four small RNAs -- hY1, hY3, hY4 and hY5. The record is from Rfam by way of RNAcentral. Lineage: Eukaryota; Metazoa; Chordata; Mammalia; Primates; Cebidae.